GCCCGAAAAAACGGCACCCGCGGAGCGAGGCUGGUGAAACAGAUACUAGCCAUUCUGUACGACCGGCUAAAGCACAACUCCAGACACCAGGCCAACAGCCCCCGAAGAGUUAUCACCCCCGGACAGCUAAAAGAUCAGCUGUGAAACCGUCAUAAUGGAGCUUUCUGAAGAUGCUGAGGGGAAUAGAUGAUUUGGAACAGCCUUCGUUAGAGGGGGUUUCAGUGGAGCAAAACGCAUGCAGCCAGUCCCCAUCACACUAUUGUCAACCUGACAGACCACAAAGAAGGCUCACUGCUGCAUUAUCUACUCUGAACGAUGACAUAGAUGCUAUUCUCCCGUUCUGUACGAACGUUUUUUCAAACGCACCGAGAAUCGUCACAUCAACUCCCCCGGGAACCACCACCCGCACGCUCCAUACUCCCGACCCAAACAAGUAACGCACAACAUGUGCGCAAGUGCAUUGCGCAUAAUCACCACAGCCCGAAAAGUGUUACUGGGCCGGAAACUUACUGCUUCAAGAAACGGCGCUACAUGGACAAGACUCCAACGAGACAUGCCCGGCAGAAUCUGGAAGGCCUGGUGAAAAAAAGUCCAGAGUCCACGGUUUCCGUGAUUCGUCAGAACAGCCCGCGUCA
This is a non-coding RNA of Salmo salar (Atlantic salmon), 635 nucleotides long. The record is from RefSeq and is a predicted model, not a curated record. Lineage: Eukaryota; Metazoa; Chordata; Actinopteri; Salmoniformes; Salmonidae.